GGGGCUGUAGCUCAGUGGUAGAGUGCAUGCCUAGCAUGUGUGAGGCACUGUGUUCGAUCCUUAGCACCA
This 69-nucleotide transfer RNA is filed under the name Marmota monax (woodchuck). RNAcentral's name for it is "tRNA.Ala". The record is from RNAcentral. Lineage: Eukaryota; Metazoa; Chordata; Mammalia; Rodentia; Sciuridae.